UCCCUGGUGGUCCAGUGGUUAAGACUCUGAGCUUCCAGUGCAGGGGCCUGGGUUCCAUCCCUGGUCAGGGAU
Molecule: transfer RNA, 72 nt
Organism: Ovis aries (sheep)
Lineage: Eukaryota; Metazoa; Chordata; Mammalia; Artiodactyla; Bovidae
Rfam family: tRNA
About the family: Transfer RNA (tRNA) molecules are approximately 80 nucleotides in length.
Source: Rfam